UCCUGGGAUCAUGACCUAAGCCGAAAGCAGAGGCUCAGUGGGUUAAAGCCUCUGCCUUCGACUCAGGUCAUGAUCUCAGGGUCCUGGGAUCGAGCCCCAGAUCGGGCUCUCUACUCCGCGGGGAGCCUGCUUCCCCCUCCCGCUGCCUCUCUCCCUGUGAUCUCUGUCAAAUAUAUAAAUAAAAUCUUGAAAACAAAUACUAAGGCCAAAGCCCACACGCAGCCGUCAGCCUCCAUGCUCUAGGAAUCUUAGGGACCCCAAACCUGCAGGAAUUCUCUGGGGACACUUGUAAUUUAUGUCGAUGCGCCAUGACUGUCCUUGCCUCCAGGCCUGACCCACGUGAGGCAGAGCCUGGAACACCCUUAGCGAGGGUGGGACCUAUUCAGAAGGACACUCCAGCCCUGCCAGCAAGGAGGUGGGCCCUACCAUCCCACAGUGCGAGGGACACCAGUCUCAGCGGGAGGUGACCCCACGACUCAGACUCAGAAACAGUCGAGUCCUGGCCAACUGCAACGGCCGGCCCACAGAAUCUGGUGCCGGGCUGGACGAACCUGAACUGCACCAGCACAACAUGGCAAUGGCGGCGUUGUUGGUACUGAGGUAACAGGAUGACCCUGAUGACCUCUGGGGCAGACCCCUGGACUUGCCCUGUGACUUGUUAGUGAAGCCACCAAAAAAGCUGAUUCGGCAGCAGACGAGCCCCAAGCUUCUAGGUUUCUGAUAGUCUGCGUGCCCAGUGUGGGGCCUGAACUCACAACCCUGAGGUCCAGAAUUGCACAUACUCCAACGGAGCCAGCCACGGACCCCAGGACUUCCUUACACUCUUCUUUAAGUUUUUUGAGAUUUUAUUUUGUUUGUUUAUUCGAGAGAGAGCAAGUAAGGGGAAGAGGAGAAGCAGACCCCCCACUGAGCAGGGAGCCCCACCGGGGCUGACCCCAGGAGGCAGAUGCUCAAUCGACUGAGCCACCCAGGCCCCUUCUUUACACUCUUAAAACUGAGAACCACAAAAAGCGUUUUUAUGGGUUUUAUCUGUCCACAUGUGUUGUAUCGGAGGUUACAGAAACAGGAGCACAGCAGCACGCGCUGCGUUGGUUGUCCGCGACGCUGCCCGCAGGGGCACUGCCCUGCCCGUGAGGAGUGAGGAGGUCGCACAUACGUUCAGUGAAGAUGACGCCGACUGUACAGACCCUCAGAGCGUCUCCAGACCACAUUCUGAGAACAUAUGCUAAAUAAGCUUUUUUUUCAGAAACGUAAGUUCUGUGGUCAGUCUUGGUAAAGUUAGAUAUUAAAUUCGGUUGUAAUGUCAGACUUCCAACGGACAGUAAUUUGCUUACUAGACACACAGCUGGAGGAAUCAAACCUGAGAACCGCUACCUUCAUAAACGACCCCAAGAUUCGAGAUAAACGACGUGACGAGACCCCGGAUCGAUGGGUCAAACACAGAAACAUGAGCGCCUGCGGGGCUCCGUCGGUGGGCCCUGGAUCGAGAGCCCCGAUGGGCCUCAGGCUCACAGGGAGUCCGCGUGAGGCUCUCUCCCUCGCAUCUGCCCCGCCCCCGCGCCCCCCGCGAUGCUCCCUCCCUCUCCCUGAUAGACGGACAGGGCGCCCCUGUGACUCCGUCAGUAAAGUGUCCGCCUGCAGCUCCGCUCACAGUCCGGGAGUCCUGGGAUCGAGCCCCGCGUUGGGCUCCCUGCUCAGCGGGGAGCCUGCUUCCCCCUGCCCACCCCUUGCUUGUGCGCUCUCUCUCUGACAAAUAACUAAAAUCCUUUAAAUAAAAAUAAAAUGUCCUUAAAACAAGACACAGAAGCAAAUUGGGCAGAAAUAAAUGUAAAAUUCCACGCAUAAAAGACAAUUGAGAAUAAUUUCGAUUUCUGCUAACUAAAAAUCUAACACGCUGCGCGUGAACGGGCCCGCCAGCAGCACAGGCCGCGGAACGCGCUCGCGUGCAGACCACAACACGGCCCGUGCGCGGGUCCUGCGAGCACAUCCUCAGAGGACCUCCCGGACCCGAGCGCUGGAAGCGGGGCCGGGAAACGCCGCCGUUUCGGCUGUGACCGAAGGACCUGAGACCAGCUCAGAUACACGGAGCCGGGGCAGCGGCUCUGAGGCUCCGGGAGGCAAACCAGGGCCACCGGGGAAGGCGAGGGUGCUUUGGCUGGACAGGAGCCAGGCCGGCCCGCCCCACGGGGGCCGCUGUCCGAGAGCCCAGAGCCCCCCCCACGCAGACGACUGGCCUUCUGCAGAACCGGAUGGGACAGCGGAGGCCUGCCCCGGCCCCUGCACAGUCCAGAC
Long non-coding RNA from Mustela lutreola (European mink), 2292 nucleotides. RefSeq lists it as uncharacterized. NCBI's taxonomy places the organism in Eukaryota, Metazoa, Chordata, Mammalia, Carnivora, Mustelidae. The transcript is spliced from 3 exons. The record is from RefSeq and is a predicted model, not a curated record.